RNAcentral lists this ribosomal RNA (465 nucleotides) under Vreelandella stevensii. RNAcentral's name for it is "partial 16S ribosomal RNA". It matches the Rfam family "Bacterial small subunit ribosomal RNA", at positions 338 to 795 of the family's 1533-position model. Lineage: Bacteria; Pseudomonadati; Pseudomonadota; Gammaproteobacteria; Oceanospirillales; Halomonadaceae. The record is from RNAcentral.
CCUACGGGAGGCAGCAGUGGGGAAUAUUGGACAAUGGGCGAAAGCCUGAUCCAGCCAUGCCGCGUGUGUGAAGAAGGCCUUCGGGUUGUAAAGCACUUUCAGUGGGGAAGAAAGCCUUGGGGCUAAUACCCUCGAGGAAGGACAUCACCCACAGAAGAAGCACCGGCUAACUCCGUGCCAGCAGCCGCGGUAAUACGGAGGGUGCGAGCGUUAAUCGGAAUUACUGGGCGUAAAGCGCGCGUAGGCGGUCUGAUAAGCCGGUUGUGAAAGCCCCGGGCUCAACCUGGGAACGGCAUCCGGAGCUGGCAGGAGAGAGGGAAGGAGAGGAAGGGAGAAUGCCCGGAGUGGCGGGGAAUUGCGUAGAGACCGGGAGGAAUACCGGGGGUGAGGGCGGCCUCCUGAACUACCACGGACGCUGAGGUGCAAAAGCGUGGAUAGCAAAAGGGAGUAAAGACCCCGGUAGUC